UACGUAGGGUGCAAGCGUUGUCCGGAAUUAUUGGGCGUAAAUAGCUCGUAGGCGGUUUGUCGCGUCUGCUGUGAAAACUCGGGGCUUAACUCCGGGCCUGCAGUGGGUACGGGCAGACUAGAGUGCGGUAGGGGAGACUGGAAUUCCUGGUGUAGCGGUGAAAUGCGCAGAUAUCAGGAGGAACACCGGUGGCGAAGGCGGGUCUCUGGGCCGUAACUGACGCUGAGGAGCGAAAGCGUGGGGAGCGAACAGG
RNAcentral lists this ribosomal RNA (253 nucleotides) under uncultured bacterium. RNAcentral describes it as "partial 16S ribosomal RNA". It matches the Rfam family "Bacterial small subunit ribosomal RNA", at positions 524 to 776 of the family's 1533-position model. The record is from RNAcentral.